UUAAGGACCGGGAUAACUGUUAGGAAACGAUGGCUAAUACCGGAUAAGUAAUUGGAAGGCAUCUUCUAAUUAUUAAAGUUUAAAUACACACAAGGAUGAGCUUAUGGUGCAUUAGCUAGUUGGUGGGGUAACGGCCUACCAAGGCUGUGAUGCAUAGCCGACCUGAGGAGGGUGAUCGGCCACACUGGGACUGAGACACGGCCCAGACUCCGUACGGGAGGCAGCAGGUAGGGUAAUUUUCGGCAAUGGGGGCAACCCUGACCGAGCAACGCCGCGUGAGUGAUGAAGGUCGCAAGAUUGUAAAACUCUGUUGUAAAGGAAGAACACUAAGGAUAGAAUCCUUAGUUGACGGUACUUUACCAGAAAGCCACGGCUAACUACGUG
RNAcentral lists this ribosomal RNA (384 nucleotides) under uncultured bacterium. RNAcentral's name for it is "bacterial SSU rRNA". It matches the Rfam family "Bacterial small subunit ribosomal RNA", at positions 131 to 507 of the family's 1533-position model. The record is from RNAcentral.